UUAUGUUAACAGCAUGAGAGUCAUUUAUUUUUCGGCUACUAGUAUGUAACAUUUUGAUUUAGAGAAUCAGAAAGUUCUUUUCCAUCAAGCUUUCCACCAUAUCCUUGAGGCUCACUUCAAGAGGUAGAAAAUCAAUGCCUAGACUUUUAGCUCUUUCCUUAGAGACAUGGAAGGGUGGACCAGCAGGCUUUUCUUUUUUGCACCUGAAACUCAAUACAAUAAAACAAAAUACCUGAGACUACUCCAACGACUUGUGGAAUUAUUAGGUGGAACUUAAAAAUUUUGAUUACUAUCAUGCGGUUGUAUUACAACAGUAUCAAAUGCAUUCAGCAAAGAGUGUACUACUGCAUUUUGUUAAAAUAACAGCUGGUUUCAUAAUGCAAUCGGAAAAAUAUUUUUAUUUUCCAAUGAUAUUAUAUCAAAGUGUGUAUAGACUUUAGAGAUCCAUGUUAUAUGACUCUAGAGAAUCUUAAUAUAAAAGCAUAUUAUAUGAUUCCCAUGUUCUUAUCAGAUCAACCCUUCAGAAGUCACGUCUUUUGUCAUCAUUUUUCACUUUGAUAGUUUGGCCAACAUGAAACGAACAGCAGCAACUUAAUCUUGACCACAUACAUGUCCAUCCAAUGAAAUUAAAAAAACAUGCUUAUCUAUUGAUUUCUUCGAUUAUCUGUAAUUUGUAAAGUAGAUAGAGUGUCAGGCAUCUACAUUAAACUUCUGUGAUUUACUAAGCCGAUACUUCAAAAACUCGUGUCAAGGUGUACAAAUCCUUUUUUGAUUUAAAAUUAUUUUUUCAUCAUUGAACAAUGACCGACUCUUCAUAACAAAUCGUUCAGAUUAUACAAAGAAAGGGAUUUAAAUCAGAACUACAAUGAAGAAAGAAAAAAUUGCACGAGACAAUGCACAUGGAUGACAACAUAUUAAAUUUUUUAAUGUCAGAUCCCAUGGAAUCAUGCCUAGAGUCAUGGAAGAUAGAAAUUCUAAUAUGUGAUGGCAAUGAAAAGUAAACAUACGUAUCAGGAAGACUAAUAGCAGGAUAAAGCUUGUGUAUUAUCUUCAAAGCCUCCGAAGAGUAUGCCACACUCCCAACUAAGCAAUAUCUUCCACAUGCAGAAGGAAUCUCAAAUGCUUGUAUAUGAGCAUAAGCAACAUCUCUGACAUCAACAAAUCUAUAAAUUCCAUCAAUGGACAUUUCUUUUCCUGUGACAUACAAAAUAUUUUAACCAUCAGGAUGAUUUAAAAAUGUGUGAUGAUAUAUGAACACAUCCAUACUUUUUGAUACUUAACAGUGUAAUUAAGAUGGAUGUCAUUUGUUUGUGAUACAUGCGUUGUAAAUUAGACGUCUCUCAUCUAGAUGGUCGAACAAACAAAAGGAAGCAUAACAUAUAUAGCAUAUACAAAUAUUACUGAAACCAACAAAGUAACGAGAAAAAACAAAAAUACUUUAAAUUUGGUUGAGAAAGCAAGAGGUGGGGAACUUUAAUUACAAUUUACUGUAAUUAGUUCUAGUUGGAGUGUAAGACUUCUCUGUAAAGUUUGAGAAGUCUUAAAAGUAGUGCUCGAUAAUCAAUAACAUCUUACAAUGCCAGAAGUAGAGAAAAUGAUUAUGUUUAUGAUAACCUAUAUUGGAGGAACAUCACAUAUGAUACUUGUACAUAUUAAAUACUUGGCUGAUAAGUGACAUAAACUGAUCAGUUGCAAAUGUACUUUAAUGAGGCUGCUCUUUUUUCAAUUUUUUCACAAUGUCCACAGGCAUAACUUUGGCCCUAAUGCCUUGCUCCUAGUGUCUGGGUGUCAGACUCAAGCAGUUUAGCACAGAAUGAAGAUUUUAAGUACCAGAGCCUUACAGGCCAAAGUUGACAAUACAAGUUGUUAGGGGUGUACGCGAUUUGUUUUGGGCAGUUAGAAGGUAAAACCAAACCAGACUACAACUUGCGGUUUUUUAAAAUUCUUCAUUUGUGGCUAAACCACUAGUUAGAAAAAACCGAACCAAAUCAACCCGCGAAAAUGCGGUUUUUGCAGUUCGAAUCUACAGUUCAAUCACUAUAGAUGCGUGUGUGUCUAGUUGGAAAAAAAAAAACUCGCCUUAGUUUAUGAGCUUGCAGAAUUUGCAGAAAUAAUAAUAUAAAGCAGUAGUAAUAAAGAAGUGCAGAACACAACCUAUGAAAAUCAAACAGAAUGGUACAAUAUAUAAGAUUAAGUAAUUAUACAUAAGCAGAAGCUUAGUUUAGAAAGUCGGGAAAAGGGGGACAGGGACGUACUCACAUAAAACCCAUGACCAAAAAAAGGUCAUGAAUAGGCGCCUGAACCACUGGGGCAACACGACAUUUGUAUAUUACUAUAGUUAGGCAUUAAGACAAUUCAAUAUAAGAAUUCAACUCAUAUAAAAAUAUAUGUAUAUUAUAGCACUCAAGUGACCCUGAUUUUUUCUCACUUAUAGGUCAGAGGAAAGAGCUGCAAGAAUCAAUCGAGUAGAAGAUACUUGGAAUUAUGUUAUCAAGUUUCUUCCAUAGGUAGUUGCUAGACAAGUUGCAUAGUUGAAAGGUAAAUGGUGCUUUGGCAAUGUAGCAGAAGGUAUCAUCUUACCCGUUUUAAUGAGGUUUAGCAUCCCUUCUGAAGUAGCAUUUAAAACUGGCUGCAAGAGAGGACCUAAGACAAAACCUGGAUGCAGUGUCACCAAGUCAAUUCCGUGCUCUUCUGCAAACUUUAAAGCUGCUUGCUCAGCCAAUGUUUUGAAAGGUGAUAAUAAAGCUGAGCAAAAACAGAAGUUCCAUCAACAUCUUACAGUUCACAAGCUUAAAGAUACUCUUUCAAAUUAUAGAAUUCCAAAGCAGGUGAAAUGAAAUAAUUCCAAAUAAAACACGGUCUUCAGAUUUAAGCCUUACAACGAAAAUGUUCCGUUCCAUAUUAAAUAACUAUGCCUUCGAUUGGAGGAUAACAAGGUUAACCACAGACAGCCUAUUACUUUCCUUUUUUUUUUUGCUAAAUGACUGAAGACUGAAGAAAACAAGCUGUGCAUUGUUUCUAAAACUUUGUAGGCAUGCGUUUCAGUUAAAAAAGAGUGGAAUAUAUGCUAUAGGCAGUCUACAGAACAAGCACAUUUUAACAUAUUUAACAGUUGAGAAUUUCAUAUUAUGUUGUACACUUGCCUUCCGUUCCUCACAAAGUACUGGAGAAGAAAACCAAGUUUCAUCCAUCACAGUAUCAGGCUUCAAAGGCUUCCCGGUGAUCAUAAUUGAAGCUGUGGAAGAUGUUAUUACCACCCUUUUAAUAGAUGGAAAUUUUGUGCAUGACUGAAGAACGUUAAGUGUUCCCUUCACUGCAGGCUCGACCAGUUCUGCCUGAAACUGAGUAAAGGAAAUAAGAACACGGAGGUCAAACGUACGCUUGUAAGCUAAAAUUCCAUUUCAGAAACAUUUGUUAGAAAAGUACAAAAAAUAAAAUGCAGAUCAUGCUCACACGUUGGUUGUUAUCAUAUAUUGAUAACAAUCAAGGAAACUACACAGCAAUAGAUCUACUGACUAAGUAAAUGAUAAUUAUAAACAAAAUAAGACAACAACCUAAUAUAACCCAGGAAAUUCACUUGUUCUGCCAAAGAUACGAACUGAAUCUAUAUUGUCCAAUAAUAUGGUAGAUAAAGGUUCCAGUCGUGUGUAAGUUUAAGAAUGGCGACGAAGUAUGAGCACUUUAUCUAGUGACAAAGUGCUAAAUCUAUAUAACUCUUUAAAAGUAGUUGUAAUACUACAUAUACUCUUCUUGUCAUGGUAUUGCCAUCCAAUUUAAUGUGACUAAAUGUCUAAUUUGUCCCUAAAUUUGUCUAGAUCAGUCUUACUUACAAGUACACGGAAAUGCAAGGAGUAGAAGAAAAAAACCUGGGGGAUAGAAGAUGAAAGGUUUACAGGUGAUGCUGUAUGAAAGACACAAUCACAUCCAUCAACCGCAGGAUCAAAUGAUCCCUCCUCAAGUAAAUUUGCUUCAAACAAGUGAAGUCUUUCCUUGGCUCCGUCAAGUGCAAGGAGGUGUUCGGUCUUCUGUGGAUCUUCUGAAAUACAAGAAGAAGACUGAUGAUAACUACUAGCCUUAAAAUGUAGAUGGAAGGAGUCUAAAUUUCUUCUGACAUUCAGCAACUCAGUAUAUAUCUAGUUCAUCAUGUCAUGCAAAUUGCAAAGCUCCAAUCCUCACAAGGUCAUGUGCAACUUUAGGUUAUGAGACAUGUCAUUUUAUUCUUUUUAGUUGGGAAAUAAGCUUAUGAGUAAAAAUUUCUGCAGUGUCUGAAAACUAAUAUCUAAUGUCUUUGGCUAUUAAGGAGGACCUAAGCGAAUUUCAGACUGUUCAGCAAAACAAGAACACGACGGAUAGCCUAAUGACACAGAUUUAUUUGGUGGUCUGGGUUCGAGAAAAUAUUUCUGUACUUGUAAGGUAUAUAAGCCUAAUUUUUCAAAAAAACGAAAACCAAUAAAACAAUGAUCACAAAUCAUCUUUAAAAAUUACAAGCAAAAAAAAAACAAAGAUUACAACUUAACUGAGCACAUGAGUUGAGCUUAACAUAUUAUGUUGUGUUUGGUUGGGGUAAAUGAAAAUGGAAGGAAUGGAAUGAGAUUUGAACUAUAAUUUAGUUGAAUGUAUAUUAUUUCAAUUCUUCCACCAUUCCAUUCCUAUCACCCUUAACUAGAGCUCAAACCCUUAAUUUUGUGAAGGAAUGCUCCAUUCCUUAUCAUACCUAUUUUCUACCCAAAUCUUAUCAUACAAAAUUUGCUUUCACAUUUCACUCAUUUUUUUCAAAGUCCUCCCUCCUACACUCUAUUAUUUUCUUUUAUUUUACUCAUUCCAUUCCAUUCACCCCAACCAAACACAACAUUAGAACUUGAAAUUCACAGAACACACUGAAUCAAGUUUAAAAGAAAAAAAGCCCUUCCAGUUUCAAUCAAUAAAACAAAAACAAAAUAGAAAUUGAUUUAAUGCCUUAAACUACACAUAUCAAGAACUGGGUUUCUCAUUUUGCACUAAUAUAUCACAGAAAACACAAAUAAAGCAAGAUAAGUGAGGCAAAUCAACAAAGCAAGGAACACAAAAAAGAGCAGAAACAUGCAAAGAAAAAGAGUUGAAAUACAAACUGAGAGAUCGAACAGUGGCGUUGACAGUGUAAUGACGUUCAAGUAACAUCUUGACAAGCCAUGCAGCGAUAUAUCCUGACGCCCCUGUUACACAAGCUAGCUUUCCUCUUCCACUCAUGCUUUCCUCUGUCUCAACUGCCUUAAACUCUUCAACUUUUGUCUGUCCUAAAAUAGGGGUACUAAUUUUACAGUGAUAAAUUGAACACCUAUAAAAUUGUAUAAAAUUAUUCGAAAACACAAGUGUUUGAGCAUUUUAUUAUAAUAAAAAAAUAAGUAACAUGUACGAGUAUAAUUUAAUUAUGAACAAGAGGAAUCUUAAUUAGUUCACGUGAAUUUAAGAACCGGCUGCUGAGAGUAAUAUUUUAGUGCAAAAUUUAGCGCUAACAACAGACAAGAACAUUGAUUGAAUAGAUAAAUUCAACUCUCUCGUCCUACAAAUUGGUCCAAGUCUAAGAAUAAGACAGAGCCGAGACCUCACCAACGGCUUGGUUCUUUAUUAUCUGGUUGUCAGAAAUUUUAAUAAUUUAAGCAGGAAUAUAAAAUUAUAUAUUCACUUUUAUAAUUUGCAAUUACACAUUUACUUUUACUUUAAUCACAAAUUCGAUCAUCAAAACCUUAAUAAAUAUAAAUCUUCAUAAAGAAUCUUUCAGAAGCAAUCUUGUUUAUUAAUAAACUUAUACUUGUAUACAACUACUUACCUCAUAAUACUUUUUUAGUGAUGAUAUGGUUAUCCGUAAAAAAAAAAUAAAAAAAAUCUGGUAUGGUUUGGUCAACAAGCACGAGUCAGAGUUGUAAGCAUAAAGGGUUUCUUAAGUAAUCCUUGAGGCUCAAGAGGUAGGAAAUCAAUGGCCAGAGUUCUAGCUUUUUCCUUGGAGACACGGUAGGCUGGCCCAACAGGCUUCUCCCCUUGGCACCUCUGGGGAAAAUGAGUAUGCAUGCUUCAACGAAAAGCAACUAACCUCAACAUAUCCAGAACCAAGCCCUCUAAAUACAGCCAGCUUUAUUUAUCUCUCUCUGUGUUUUAGAAAGAGUUUAAGAAAGAUUCACAAGGUGCUACAAGUCUUUAUAAAACAACCCAGUUUAUCAUAAUAAUUACAGUUCUCAUCGGACACUUCAAAUUUUCGGUAGGGAUUUGUGUGACCAACUGACCAAGUAUGUUUGCAGCAUGAGAAUAAUUUAUUUUGCAGCUGACUAGUAUGUAACAUUUUGAUUUAGAGGAUCAGAAAGUUCUUUUCCAUCAAGCUUUCCACCAUAUCCUUGAGGCUCACUUCAAGAGGUAGAAAAUCAAUGCCUAGACGUUUAGCUCUUUCCUUAGAGACAUGGUAGGGUGGCCCAGCAGGCUUUUCUUUUUUGCACCUGAAACUCAAAACAAUAAAAUAC
This 6488-nucleotide long non-coding RNA is filed under the name Daucus carota (carrot). RNAcentral's name for it is "long non-coding RNA (DCAR_LNC000712)". Lineage: Eukaryota; Viridiplantae; Streptophyta; Magnoliopsida; Apiales; Apiaceae. The record is from RNAcentral.